AGAAGCCGGCUCCUGCUUCUGCUUCUUCGUUUCGGGGACUUCCCUUUUCUCAGUAUUUCUAAAACCUUCCUCCUUUACCCACUUUUGCCAGGCCUCCUCCAGAAUGUCCGUCUUAGGGCCUAGGACUUUCCUCCUUCCGCCAUACCCGUGCGACCCCCAUUUCACCGUUCCAGUUCUAAACACUCCUCCUGAGUGCUUACCAGAGAGCUCCGGCACGUCGUCUUCCCGAGGCCCCCUGCACCUCAACUGCAGGUAGAAUCCGCGGCUUCCCCCGGCCCCGAGCCCUGCGCGUCCCCUGUCACGGGAUCUCCGGCACCCCAGUGCCCAGCACCCACCCCAGCACCCAGCCCAGCACCCAUGCAGCACCCAGCCUGGCUCGGCCCCAGCUCCGGGGCUGACAGCAGCAGCAGCAGCAAGGGGAGAAGCAGAAGGCAGCGGGGCGCGAGCUCGAUCAGCGA
This is a long non-coding RNA of Octodon degus (degu), 458 nucleotides long. RefSeq lists it as uncharacterized. Lineage: Eukaryota; Metazoa; Chordata; Mammalia; Rodentia; Octodontidae. The record is from RefSeq and is a predicted model, not a curated record. The transcript has 3 exons.